GCUCUCCUGAUGACUUACAUUAAAAUAAAGAAAUAUAGCUUAAGUUAUUCCUUUAAUGGCUUGUAACAUAAUGUGACGUAUCAGUCUAUUAUAUUUAAAGAUCGUUAACAUUCCGUUACCACUUUGUAAUUUGAUCCGCGGGUACUGGUAUAACAAUUGUUGGGUUAGAUAUUUGUUUACAUUUCAUAUUUCGUUUUAUAUAAAGUAUGAUUGUAUACGGUUAAGAAUUUCAUUAUGAUUGGACAAUAGAAGAUAGAAUAAGAAAUGAUAAUAAGUUCGGAAUGUUGGGUUGGGCACUGUUGUAGGGCAUUGACCGAGGUGACCUUGACCCGAUGACUCAUCGGAAGGUGCGGCCGCCCCUAUUGGGUUGGGCUCUGACGUCAUGGAAAUUUCAGAUUGACUCACCUCAUUACAGUCUGGAAUGUUGGGUUGGCACAUGACGUCAUGGGAAAUUCUGAUUGACUCACCUAGUCCCUAUUGUUUUGGGAAUGCUGGGUGCGGCAGUGAGGUCAUGGUAAUUUCCUAUUGACUCACCUACUCUCUUUUGUUCUUUGGAAUGUUGGGUGCGGCUCCCCAUUGUUCUAGGGCAUUGACCUGUCCGCUAUCAUGUUGCGCGAUUGUGAGGUCAUGGGGUUUUCACUCGUUAGCCCCGCCCCCCACGCGAUGACGUGAUAGCCACGUGGUAUGGCUCCAGCUCCAGGCAAAUUCCCCUACCGAUUGUUAUAUACUACUGUUAAUACAUAAUCCCUGUCCCAAAACGUCUUAUAAUUGUGAUCAAGAGUGGAAAAUUGAAACUGAUACGUCCUGCUACUGUUCUUAUAGAUCAAUUAAGUUUUCUAUCAUAUCGAGAUUGGUUUUGCAUGUUUCAUUUACUAGGAACAUUAUAGCCUCAUUAAAUGUUUUUGGUAGUGUGUGUUAAAAGUCUAUUUAGAACUUAAUUUAAGAUAUCCACUUAGCGGAAGAACUUGGAGACAAUAUAAAACUUGAUGCGUGUGGGUGUGCAGGGAAAAACAGCUUAUCAUUAUGUAUUUAACUGCUCGCCUAUUGGAGACAGCAUGCAGUGAGGCUAACCACACAGCUACUGAUCAUAUAAUUUGAUCCAGUGAUACCACUGGAAGGAACCCAUUCAGUUUUAAACAGUUAGUCCUAUAACUGUUAAGCUCACAUUCACGCACGGAAGUACCGCUUAAAGAUUUUUUGUUUUAUGUUUGUUCAUUUUUAACUAUUAGAUGUUGUCAUCGGAAACGUCUUUUAAUAUUUAACAUUAAAAGCAUUUGAAAACACCUGGUAUACAAUAUUGAUAUAUACAUUGUAUAUCGGGUACAUCUGGAGUUAUUUUAGAAUCCGAACAGAUACCUUUACUCUCAAGUUGGUGUUUCUGCAAUUAAACUGCAAUAAACCUUAAAAAUUUUAAUACGACAUGUUUUGAUUUUGACAUAGAGUAUGCACUUCCAUUUUUCGAAAUGAACACGGUAAAACGCUCUGUAACAAGUUGUAUCAGAAGAGAAAAAGAAAGAAAAAAGAAACAACCAGCUGCUGCUUUGAUGUUCUCCCUCAAAUAACUUUUAACUAAUUGACAAGAAGAAGUUUUCACUCGAUGGGAACCUUAAUUACCUUACAAUACUGAUGGUUCCGAGUACAUAGCUGUUCAUAAGGGUAAUGUAGGUGUUACAACACUAACUUUCACCAGGCUGAAUGGUUUAGAAAAAAAUGAGCCCUUUUACUUGGCUUAAUUAUACUUACAAAUUGUUUGCAGUAUUUAUUAACAUAACCGUUUAGCCAGCGAACCAGUGUACUAAAAUCAUAACGGUCAACAAAAUAUUUAAAUAUUUCAAAGCUCAUUUCUUACAUACAUGUAUAAUCCUUUCAGUCAAUCAGUGGGUAAUACAAAAUAAUCUAGGCUUUCUGUUACUUAACGGUUAAUAUAUGCGUUCAAAUAAACAAUUUCCAAUGCAAUUUUUGAAAUACACACACAUAUAUAUGCAGUAAAUACUUGUUUGUUUUACAUUAUGCAAAUGCUCAGUUAAUAAUGUCGGUUUAUUUUAGUGUAUACCACGGGUCUCAAAAGUAUCAAAUUACAAUUUCACUUAUGCUGCAAAAUAUUAUAUAUGUAUCAUUCUUUUACAUUUACUUAAAAUUGUAUGUUCAAUGCAAGGUAAUACUUUCUUACCAUAUUAGAGACUGUUUGCAGACAGUUAACAUACGUCGCGCUGUAGCAUGCAGUUACAUACAGAAUCAACACAUCCGACAUGACAAACUGACAUGAUCAAGGACUUACUUAAUAUUAUGUUCCCAUACUUACUUUAUCAGAAUUCUUACCAACAGAAUGACGAUUACCAAGUAUAAUAUUAUGUAUUUUCGCUUACCGCUUAACACAGUCGCAAAUAUGAAUCCAGUCGUAGCUAAUCUAGAAUUGUCCUUUGACUAGAAAUAUUCAGUCAAGCAGAACUUGAUUGUAUAUGUUUAAGGUACGUUUAGGGGACGGAAUAUGUUUUCUCUUGUGUAAAAAAAAAGUCACGCGAAUCAGUUUUCGGCGAAUGUCGCACUAAAAACGAAUUUGUGACCUGUACGGACCAAGCCACGUGACUUAAGUUUGCAAAACAGGCUACUUCAUAACGCAUUAUGGAUAUUUUAUCAAAAUGAAAGAUUUUUUCAACAUUCUGCCUAAUUCGAAGAAGGUGUCUAUUUUUUUUCACUCUGCUGAUUGUGCAACGCUAAGUGAAAUGUCAGACAAAGCGUUUAUCCUUAAUGGCGCUGUUUAUCCUUAAUGGCGCUGUUUACAAGUUUUAAAGCUAUAUUUCGCUCAGUAUAUUCAGCAAGAAUAUUGAUAUAUCUAAAAAUGAUAUUAAGUAAGUUUAAUAAAUACAAGUAUUAUAAAAACCUGUUCAAAUACCAACAUAUAUCAAUUUACAGAAAGAGCUGAAUACGGUCUGCGUAUCACAUGAAUAAGGUUGUGAUCAGCCGAUCGAUUAAAGUCUUCUAGGUAGAGAAGUGUCUUCCAGACCACAGCUGUAAUUAUUCGUCGUAGAAUAAACGAAACAAAAUUGCACACCUACGACACCUUUGUGAAAAUUGCUUUUUGUAAAAUGUUAGAUAUAUGAUAGAAUAACACAACUGAUAUGAAAACCUCAUAAACUUCUUGCCUUAUUACAAUUGGCCGACCAUCUUUUUUCGGCGAACGCCGUCUAAAUUCGUUUUCGUUACCUAUGCCACGUGACUUCAGUUUGCAAAUCAAACUACUUGAUAACGCAUUAUAGAUAAUUUAUCAAAAUGGAAGAUUUAUGCAACACUCUGCCUGAUUGGACGAGAGUGUCAAUUUCUUUCACUCUGUUGAUUGUGCUACGCUGAGUGAAAUGUAGACAAAGCGUUUAUCCUAAACGACGCUGUUCACAGUUUUAAAGCUAACUUUGGCUCAGUAUAUUUAGCAAAAAUAUUGAUAUAUCUCAAAAUGAUAAGUAAGUUUAAUAAAUAUGAUAAAAACCUGUUCAAAUACCAACAUAAAUUAAAGAAAGAGCUGAAUACGGUCUGCGUAUCACAUGAAUAAGGGUGUGAUAAGAGUCUUUUAUGUAGAUAAGUGCUUUUUAAAAGAGUUUUCUUGUUACAAUUUUCGUCUGUAUUUGAAAAGGUUUCUUGCUUUUUUUGACUUAUUCAGAUUGCAUAUUAAAAUGAGUACUUGUUUGCUUUGAUAUAUUUGUUAUAAAUUAUUUAACUGAUUUAUUAUAUAUGAAUAUUUUUCUUUAGUAUGGUAUGCAGAUAUUGAACUCAGUUGAAAUCUGUUUUAUUAUAUAUAUGCUAUAUAAUGACUGAAUCUCAUUACACUGAAAUGAAGGUACGUUGCAUACAGAUUAUCUAUGUGAUAUGACUACGGUCAAAUUUUGCUUAUGAAACAGAAAUAUUAAAAUAAUUACAACUGUAUGUUUUGCUUGACCUUCACCUUUUUAUAGGUGUGACGUCAUUGUCCAAAGAUUCCUGAAUAGCGAAUAUGCAUUUGUUAAAGCGGGAUCAGUUGGCCUAUUUUAAAAAUAAAUAAAAAUAAUAAAUAAAAAAAAAUCCUUUAAUUGAUUUUUUUCUCAUGUAUUCUAAUCAAACUUGAUUUGUAGCAUCUUUAUUAGGCCUGCAGCCAACUUUGUUCAGCUGGGACAUUUAACCCCUUUUAGGGGCUGCUAGAGCUAAAACUAGAAAUGCCUUUAUGCAGUGUCUCAUGAACAGCUUGGUGGAUCUUUGUCAUACUUGGUCUGGAGCAUCAUUAUAAGGUCCUCUUCCAAAUUUAUUUAUAUAGGAACUUUGGCCCUAUUAGGGACCACUAUAGCUAAAAGUAGAUAUGCCUUUCUUCGCAUUAACCACUAAAAUGUAAUGGAUUUUUAUCAAACUCGAUGUGUAACAAUAUCGUAAGGUCUCCUGGUUUUUUGUUACAAAUGGGGAUAGGGACCAAUUUAGCUAAAAAUAUAAACACGUUUAAUGACCUCUUCUCAUGAACCGCUUCAUGAAUCUUCAUCAAACUACUGCUGGAAUUAUUCGCCUAAGGAUAAACGAAACAAAAUUGUAACCCUACGAAACCUUUGCGAAAAAUUAAAAGAGAACCAUUUAAAUUGUUAAAGUGCGGUGUUUAGUUUUGCAAUUCGAAAAAUGUUAGAUGAAAGAUGAAUGUUAGAUGAAAAAUUCAUAAACUUCUUUCCUUAUUACAAUUCGCCGACCAUCAUUUUUAAAGAUAUUUCUUGUUUAAUCUAUUUCUUGUUUUAAUGUACGUUCAUUUUUUGCAGAAACCAGAAACGCUUGUUUGAUGUGUAUCAAUAUCGUCUGCUAGAGUGCUAAUGAACGGAAUGUGGUGAUCUAUUAAGCACUGGUACUCUUCCAACACUAAAUGCAGUUACCAUUAAAACAACUUUGUCUAAUUGAAAACUGCACACUCCACGUCCAAAACCAGACUUUAUGAUUACCCACAUCAUGCAAGGAAAAUAUCAAUACAGAAAUCCGUUGUAUUUAACUCGAGGGGAUUUUGCCAUUUGUGGAUUGAACGAGGUCUUGCGAGCCAAAUACAUCACUGUAGAUCAAGGGUCAAGGAUUCUUCAUGUGAGGCAGCCAUCUAAGUAAGAUCGGCAAUUCUACCAAGGCGACCACCCAUGUCUGAAGCAAAGCUUGGAGGGGCCCAUAGGGUAUUCUUAUACCAUCAAAGCUGGUAAAUGAAUCUAUAAGAUGACCCUUUUGAAAUAUAGAAUGCAACAAAGCAAAUUAAUAGCGGACUCAGUUUGAGUGAAGAAUAUGAAAUACCUCCGAUCAUAUUUUGCAUUUUGUCAAAUCGUUAAGACUGUUUUUUUUUUAUUUGCAAUUUUAGAAGAAAAGAAUGCAAGUGAACACUUUCAUGACAUUUUCCUGCUUCUUACGUGUUCAGAGUGAGAUAGGUUAUCGACAAGAACAGAAAAGUGUAACUUUGGAACACUUAUCUGAUUUGCAUAAAAUCAUAAUAAUUGUAUAUUUACCUUUCCAUGUGGUGU
Mercenaria mercenaria is the source of this 5492-nucleotide long non-coding RNA. RefSeq lists it as uncharacterized. Lineage: Eukaryota; Metazoa; Mollusca; Bivalvia; Venerida; Veneridae. The transcript is spliced from 3 exons. The record is from RefSeq and is a predicted model, not a curated record.